Molecule: RNA transcript, 4872 nt
Organism: Scomber scombrus (Atlantic mackerel)
Lineage: Eukaryota; Metazoa; Chordata; Actinopteri; Scombriformes; Scombridae
Gene: sardh
Gene name: sarcosine dehydrogenase
Exons: 23
Source: RefSeq, a predicted model, not a curated record
CAGAUGCCCCAUGUCAUGACCUGUUUCCGGCCUGCAAACAUCAAAUUCAUUGAUGCAUUGAAGUCUUUUUUAGUGAUAAUGUGACACCAUGGACCUUGGUCCUCUGUAGAGGAAUAAUUUGUUUACUGGCUCUUGUGUUUUUUGUGCCAUCUGCUGACUUGCAACCUUUGGUGUUGAAAUUUGGGACACAGAGCAGGGGCAAUGGCCUUCCUAGGGAGUGCAGUUCGUCGGGCGGUGUCUGCAGUGCGGCCUCCUCUCUCUCCCCUAUGCCGGACAAGCGCCCAGUCCUACAGCUCAGAGCACACCAAGGAAAAAAGUGUCCCUUAUGAAAAGACACUCAAACAGGACGAUGGAGCCUCAUCUGGGCCGACUAAACCUCUACCCAGGUCAGUGGAUGCGGUGGUGAUUGGAGGAGGCAGUCUGGGCUGUCAAACCGUCUACCACCUGGCCAAAAUGGGGAUGACCAACGUAGUUCUGCUGGAGAGAGACCGACUGACUGCUGGCACCACCUGGCAUACAGCAGGCCUGCUGUGGCAGCUUCGUCCCAGCGAUGUUGAAGUUGAGCUCUUGGCCCACACCAGGAAUGUGAUCAGCAAAGACCUGGAAGAGGAGACGGGGCUCCACACAGGUUGGAUCCAGAAUGGAGGACUCUUCAUUGCCUCCAACAAGCAAAGACUGGACGAGUACAAGCGCCUUAUGUCGCUGGGUAAAGUUUAUGGUAUCGAGUCCCAUGUCCUGUCGCCUGCGGAGACUAAAGACUUGUAUCCUCUGAUGAAUGUUGAUGAUCUGUAUGGAACUCUGUACGUACCAAAAGAUGGCACCAUGGACCCAGCAGGCACCUGUACCACCCUGAGCAGAGCUGCCUCCGCCAGGGGAGCCAAGGUGAUUGAGAACUGCCCUGUGACUGGUAUUCAAGUGCGGACAGAUGACCUCGGGGUCAAGAGGGUGAAGGCAGUUGAGACCCCCCAUGGGACCAUCGAGACACCUUGUGUGGUGAACUGUGCAGGUGUGUGGGCCACUAAACUCGGGGAAAUGGCUGGAGUAAAGGUGCCUCUCAUUGCAAUGCAUCAUGCCUAUGUGGUGACAGAAAGAAUUGAAGGAAUACAGAACAUGCCAAAUGUAAGGGACCAUGAUGCAUCAGUCUACCUGCGCCUCCAAGGUGACGCCCUGUCUGUGGGUGGCUAUGAGCAAAACCCUAUCUUCUGGGAUGAGGUCUCUGAUAAGUUUGCCUUCAGCUUGUUUGACCUGGACUGGGAUGUUUUCAUGCAACAUAUCGAGGGUGCAAUCAACAGAGUUCCUGCUCUAGAGCAGACUGGCAUCAAGUCCACUGUCUGUGGACCAGAAUCAUUCACAGCAGACCAUAAACCGCUGAUGGGAGAAGCUCCAGAGGUCAGAGGUUUCUUCUUGGGUUGCGGCUUCAACAGUGCCGGUAUGAUGCUGGGAGGUGGCUGUGGUAGAGAGCUGGCACACUGGAUCAUACAUGGACGCCCUGAAAAGGAUAUGUACGGAUACGACAUCAGGCGCUUCCAUAACUCGCUGACAGACAACAAUCGCUGGAUCAGAGAGAGGAGCCAUGAGUCGUACGCUAAAAACUACUCCGUGGUGUUCCCCUUUGAUGAGCCGCUGGCCAGCCGAAAUAUGAGGAAGGACCCUUUCCAUCAGGUGUUGACGGAGCAGGGCUGUGUGUUCCAGGAGAGGCAUGGCUGGGAGAGACCUGGCUGGUUCAACAAAGAUGGGCCCGCUCCUGUUAAAGACUAUGACUACUAUGGAGCCUACGACAUUAAGAAGAAUGUACACCACAAAUACAACGAGCUGCUGGGCAAAGAAUACACUUUUGGCUUCCCUCCCCAUCAUGACGUGAUUAAGAGUGAGUGCCUCUCAUGUAGACACGGUGUAGCUGUGUUUGACAUGUCCUACUUUGGAAAGUUCUAUCUCACUGGACCAGAUGCCAAGAAGGCGGCUGAUUGGCUGUUUACUGCUGAUGUCAACAAGAAGCCAGGGUCCACUGUGUAUACCUGCAUGCUGAAUAAGGGCGGAGGGGCGGAAGCUGACCUGACAGUGAGCAGGCUGGAGUCUGGUGCUGCCAACCUUCCCCUGGCACCAGAGUCUAAUGGCGAUGCGUACUACCUGGCCAUCGGAGGCGGUGUAGCAGAACACAACUGGAACCACAUAAGAACAACUCUUCAGGACCAAGGUUUCCGCUGCCACCUGACAGACCACUCUGAGGAUAUGGGGAUGAUCAGCAUCCAGGGACCCAAGAGUCGAGAGAUACUUCAAGAGGUGCUCGACACAGACCUGAGCAAUGAAGCUUUCCCUUUCUCUACCCACAAAGUUGUCAAUGCAGCAGGGCAUCAGGUGCGAGCUAUGCGUCUGUCAUUUGUUGGAGAGCUCGGCUGGGAGUUGCACAUUCCCAAAGACUCUUGCCUUCCUGUCUACCAUGCUGUCAUGGCCGCUGGUGCAAAACACGGCAUUAUCAAUUCAGGCUAUAGGGCCAUCGACUCACUCAGCAUAGAGAAAGGGUACAGGCAUUGGCACGCCGACCUCCGCCCAGAUGACACACCCUUAGAGGCAGGACUAGCUUUCACCUGCAAACUGAAGAGUUCAAUCCCGUUCCAGGGCAGGGAUAGGCUGGAGAAACAGAAGAAGGAGGGUCUGAGGAGGCGAAUCGUCUGCUUCACCAUAGAUGAGAAAGUACCAAUGUUUGGUCUGGAGGCUGUCUUCCGUAAUGGCGUUCCUGUUGGUCACCUGCGGCGCUCUGACUAUGGCUUCUUCAUCGACAAAACUAUUGGUUAUGGAUAUAUCCGCAACCCUGAUGGAGGAGUGGUGAGUGCUGAUUUCAUAAAGAGUGGUGAGUUUACCCUGGAGAGGAUGGGAGUGACGUACAAGGCCAAGGCACACCUCAAAUCUACCUUUGAUCCUGAGAAUAAACGCGUCAAGGGCAUCUAUGCUUGAGUUGGACCACACUCGUGUAAACACUGAAACAAACACACUUCUGGUUGGUGAACAACUGAUUUACUUUUUACAUGCAGAUGUUAAAGUCUUUACCUGUCCGUCUCAAACGUUGAUCAUUUUAUUCAGAUUAUAUCUGUGAUUUGAUGGGACUGGAACUUGUACACAUUUUAAAAAAUUUUAUGUAUGGUGGAAAAUCUGUAUCAAAAAUAUCAGAGAGGUGCUGAUGUGAUGAAUCUGGUAUGAUUUUUGCUGUUGAAGGUGUUUCAUGUCCUCAGCAACAUGUUGAGAGAUAAAUAAACUGUGUAUUCCUGUCAAUGCUCUCAUGUGAGUAUUACUGUGAAAUCUUAUUAUCUUCAAUAAUCAAAGAAUUUUAAUCAGUUCACCUGAAUAAACCAAAAACAAUUCAGUUGUGACCCAGCUAACCUUGAAUAAGCCCACAGCUUUACAGGAUUGAUCUUAAGGGCUCAAAUAACAGCAUAUGAUCAAUUUUCACAGUUUAGAAACAGAAACCAAUUAAAUAUGUGUUCAUGUCCAUAAAUAAUCAAAACAAGGCAAUUCAAAAUGAGGCAUUAAUGUCUAAUUCAGUCAAUACGUUCAAGUGAUAUGCUUUGCAGGCCUCCACUGAAAACAGUGCAUUACCACUAUUUAUCUUAUAUUCAGCUUUUGUGAAGAACUUUAAGCUAACAUUCAUUAUUAUAGGUUUGAUGGCCAUUAUUAGAGUCAGACUGUUAAUUCUAAUUUUGUCUUAACAGUGCAGUGUCUUUUAUACUAUUCCAUUGGUGUAAUAUUUUAUUUCAAAUUUAUCCUAUGAGGAUAUGAGGACAGCAUCCAUGAGCACUGUCCUGUGAGAAUAGAAGAGUUCUCAGACUACAACCUAUCCCUUGAGGCAGUUUGAGUCAGAUUACAAUGACUGAUGUUUGUGCUGAUAAUAAUGACUAAAAACAGAGUUUUACUUGGUAGUGUGGAAGCAAGUGUUUAUCAGAGUUGGGGAGAAAAGGAGGAAAAAAAUACCCUGAGGCGCAGUUUACCAGCCGUGGACAAAACACUGUAGAAGAGGAAUGACAGAAACAGACCACAGUUAUCAGCAGCCGUUACAGAUAGAACUCAUUUGUUUUCUGAUCCGUCCCCCGUCCCCCCCACAUUCCCCCUCUGCUGUGCUCCAACUUCAAUGCUCUUAGGGUUGUUUUUUAACAGAUGCACUGUUCUCUAAAAGGGCUUAAAGAGCUCCCAUUUCUUGUUUUGCUGAUAAAUCAAACAGAAACAGACAUCGGUUAUCAGCAGCCAUUACAGAUAGAGAACCCAUUUGUUUUCUGAUCCGUCCCUCACUUUCCUCCUCUGCUGUGUGCCAUCUCCAUGCUCUUAGGGUUGUUUUUUUUAACAGAUACAUUGUUCUCUAAAAGGGCUCAACAGCUCCAAGUUCUUGUUUUGGUGAUGAAUCAAACUUGAGAUUUUUUUUAUUUUAUUUUUAUUUUGUAUUUUUUGCUUCACAAUAAAUCCCUCCCAGCAGUAAUCGCUUCACAUUUACUGAGAAGCAUCUGUGGGACACGCUGAGCAACAACACAUUAAGAACCGCAUUUGCCUCAUUAAUUAACACUUUCAGUUCUAAAGAUGAGCUCAGUGUAACGUUAUAGCAAGUGUUAUCUAAUCAAUGCUGUGGAAAAUUGAAAAUGUGAAUUAUGCCGAGUCGUCCACUAUAGUCCCUACAGGUUCUUCGAGACAAACCUUAAUUUGAGAAUUUACAGAGUAUGUACAUAGAGACUUAAUGGUGCUAAUUUGUGUAUUUGCUUUCUGUGUGUAUAUAUACGUAAAAACUAAAAGGGCUAACAUGUUUUCCUGCUACAGGUUUCUGUGUUCACAAUUCAUGUUCGUUUGAUUGAAAAAUGUCUUAUUUUACUUUCAGUUUUUGUAGUUAAACUUGAC